UUCUGUUUAUAGGAAGGAGUUCAUCGGCAAUCGACUGAUCACUCUGUUCUGUGGUUGGAAUGUAAUAUUUUUACCAAGUCAAACUUAAUUAACAAAGUUGUGCACAUAUGCUUAUAAGCUAAUGAUCAUCAAGUUUUGGAUUCCUACUGAUGAUAAGAAGCUGAAAGCGCACCACUAUCCCACAUAUUCAGAUAGCAUAAUAGAGUGGAAGAUAUGCUAAACAAAGAUGGUGUGAAGUGUGCAGAAUUUGAAAUUCUGAUUUUUUUUAUAGUUCCUCCAAUAUUUGUAUCUAAAGUUGUUGGGCAGACAUUUUAGGAACUAUGUAUGUUAAGACAUGUAACCACUUGAAAUA
This is a long non-coding RNA of Solanum dulcamara, 352 nucleotides long. RefSeq lists it as uncharacterized. NCBI's taxonomy places the organism in Eukaryota, Viridiplantae, Streptophyta, Magnoliopsida, Solanales, Solanaceae. The transcript is spliced from 2 exons. The record is from RefSeq and is a predicted model, not a curated record.